UGAUUCCGUGUUAUUGGUUUGAAAAACAGUGCAUAAUUCACACUGAAAGUAACUCCUUCUGAAAACCGUUCGUACAGGUCAUAAAACCGAACUCCUUUUUUUAAAUGUUAAUCAGAGUGUUUAUCGAAACAAUUUCCUUAUUUCGUUCGAUAAUUACGUUGUUAGUUUUUAUUAUAGUCUUUUUAGUCUUAAUCGAAAUAAUUAUCGUACGAUUCCCCAUGUCAACUCGCCAUGUUUUAACAACAGCUGAUAGCGGUUUGUCUACAUUUUUAAAAGAAGCAUGGCCUGCAAGACAUCGAUAGUGGAAAUUUCAGCUCAACUAACGUAUGACAGAUCAUAAAGCUCAAAACGAACUCUUGUUACCACAUUACUUUUACCUGUUGAUUCGUAUGGUUUCAGCUCUUGAGGUUAACCUGUCACCUCUACCCACAUGCAUAGUCCUUGUGUUCUACAGACUAUCUACCGGUAUUUCAAAUUAAAACGGAUAAUGCAUGAACAAUAAUGGAACUUUAAGAAAGCAUCAUGCCCUAUUGUGGUUUGUUCAUGUUUGAUAAGAAAUUAUAAAAAACAAAAUUAAGGCUGUUUAAAGAAAUAUGAUUGUUGUGAAAAUUUGUUUUUCAAUGAAAGUAUGCAAUUA
This is a long non-coding RNA of Magallana angulata, 637 nucleotides long. RefSeq lists it as uncharacterized. Lineage: Eukaryota; Metazoa; Mollusca; Bivalvia; Ostreida; Ostreidae. The record is from RefSeq and is a predicted model, not a curated record. The transcript has 2 exons.